Molecule: non-coding RNA, 72 nt
Organism: Bisporella sp. PMI_857
Lineage: Eukaryota; Fungi; Ascomycota; Leotiomycetes; Helotiales; Helotiaceae
Source: the annotation of a GenBank genome assembly
GCGCUCUUGCAGUAGUGGUUAACUGGUUUCCUUCCCAAGGAAAAUACACGAGUUCGAAUCUCGUAGGGCGCA